ACCACACGGGGAUGCAUAAAACGAUUUUUGGACAUCUUUCGGCCUUUGGUGGUCGCAAGUCACAGGAAGGGGCAGUGGACGGCAAAAGUUACGUUUCCAACUAUUGAAAAAAAAACGCUUUCAGUUGAGUGCACUCGUGGAUCACUGAACAUAUUUAGUGAUCACAAAGAGGAAUGUUUUAGUCCUACUUUUAUAUCUGCUGUCAAACGUCGCGCGCAUGAAUUGCUCUCCACUUCCGCGUACAAUGUUUUUUUACAACGACAUACAACAACUUUAGAACAGGAAGCCUUCAGAGGCGCUUGUCAAUUCGUCUCACCUUUUAGGAGAGGAGCCCGGUUUUUCCGGUGUUGGUGUGACCUACAACAGGAUGGAUUGUGAAGACGCCCAUAACGGGCGCGGGCCGUCAGGUGCUCAGUGUUCAAAUCCAGCCAUGAACAUAAUUGGAGCAGAAGAUGAAGACUUUGAGAAUGAUGAGCAACCUAUGGUGGAUGAUCAGAGCAGUCACUUUACCAGCAUUGAACUGUUGAAGUCCAGGCCCACCCACCUACUGACCUUCAUUCAUCAUGUCAUGUUACAGUUUGACUGUGCUCCUGUGCUAUGCUACCUUCAUGCUGACCUCUUCAGGAACUUCAAUGCCAAAGACACCAAGAAGCACUUUGGGGAAUUCUACAACUCUUUUCUGGAAAAAGGAGCGAUUCUUAAAGUAUCUGUGCCAAAUAACCUAGCCUCUGAACUGGAUCGCAUGCGUCCAGAAAUGAUUAGCGAAGAACAUCAAAAACGCUUUGCUAAUGAAAUACAGUACCUGCAGUGUCCAGAGAUACUGCGGCAGCUGGACGACUUCAGGCAGAAGAGGAUGAUGGGAAUGACUCCCAAUGAGCGUGAACUAAAUGAUGUGGAAUCCCAUCGUCCAACCGACCGCAUCCCUAUGGACAUGAAGGAAAAGGCAGUAGCAGAGUCCUUGCUGGAAAAGAUGUUUGAGGCCAACCCCUCAAUUGUUCCAGACAAGGACAAAAGUAACUGCAUCUUUGGAGCAGUAGCCCUUUAUAUGAAGCACCUUGGCGUCAAGACCAGAGCACUUGACAACAAGAAGACAAAGUCAGGAUGGCGGCCCUCUGUCCCUUCUGUCCUGAAGCCAUGGGGAACCAACAGACCAAACAAAAUAGUCAAACCGCCUCCAUUCACCCAUGAUGGUAAGCAAUCUAGAUUGGACUUUGAAGUAAAGCAAAGCAAACAAACCGUCCCACCUCAUCGAGUGUCCGUAAGUGAUAGUGGCACCACUUCAGUGCGGAAACCUGGUGUGGCAGGGUCAGGUAGUGUGCAUGGCUCGGAGAGCAGUGAAGAGAUGACCAUCAGCGUCAGUGUGACUCCUAGUCCUGACUCUCAGACUGACACGGGUGUUAACAACAAUCGUUCAGACCCCAGACCAGUCUCAGAGGGGGGAGAUGCAUCUCCUGUCAGCACUGGUGGGGGUCUCUCCAUCUGUGAAUCUCCCUCUGUCAUCGAUGUCCCUCCAGAUGACAGUCAGGACAGUAGCAGAAAGAAGACAAGGAAUGUGCGCCGCAGCGAGAGCCUUUGCGUGGAGCGCCGUCACUCUCGCCGUAGUGGCUCUUCCCGCGCCAAGCAGUCUCGCUCCCGUAGCGACGUGGACCUGCAGUCAACUUCCACCUCCCUCCCCCUCUCACCCUCCCCACAGCAUUCAGUCUUUGUGGAAGGUGGGUUGUUGCCUGAUGGCCUCGUGACUGGUCCUGCUUUUGGCCCCUUCCCUCAGCAGGAAGAGAUGGAGCCCCGUCUCCUGGAGCUCGAGCAGGACCCGCCCAACUGGAGAGCCCUUGCUUCUCCUGAGGACUUGAAAAAACUGAGCAAAAAGGAAAUCAAAAGACAAGAAGUCAUCAAUGAGCUGUUUUCGACAGAGCAUGCUCAUGUCCGUAUGCUGAGUGUAUUGCAGACUGUGUUUUCUCGUCCGCUGGAGAGGAAUGAGAUUAUGAGCAUAACUGAGCUGGCCACCAUCUUCCCCAGCCUUGAUGAGAUCAUAGAGAUGCACUAUACUUUCUAUGAAAACCUGAAAAAACAGCGGCAGGAGGAUGAGUACAUUGUCAAAAUCAUAAGCACGCCACUUCUGAACAGGUUCAGUGGAUCAGAGGGAGAGUGGUUUCAGAAGCUCUCGGCACGCUUCUGUAGCUACCAGACGUGGGCUCUGGAGCUGAUAAAGACCAGACAGAAGAAGGAUCCCCGUUUUAAUGCUUUUAUUCUGGAGGCAGAGAGUAAGCCACAGUGUCGGAGGCUACAGCUGAAGGAUAUCAUUCCUAUAGAGAUGCAAAGACUAACCAAGUACCCUCUUCUGUUAGAAAACAUAGCCAAGAACACAGAUGAUGACACAGAAAAAGAGAAGAUUAACCAAGCAGCAGAAUCUUGCCGCAAGAUCCUCAACCAUGUCAAUGAAGAAGUUAAACUCAUGGAGAACCUUCUGAUUUUGAAAGACUACCAGCGCCGGCUGGACACCUCAGGACUGAAACCGAGCAAUGACCUCUACAUUGAGUACAAGAACAUUGAUCUGACCACCAGAACAAUGCUGUUUGAAGGACCUCUGACAUGGAGGGUGACCAAGGAGAAGACGAUCGAUGUCCACUGUGUUUUGCUGUCAGACCUGUUAGUCUUGCUUCAGAAGCAGGAUGAUAAGAUGGUUUUGAAGUGUCAGAGCAAAAGCAACAUAGCCAUUCAGGAAGGCAAACAGAUGCUGAGUCCAAUCAUCAAACUAGAAUCUGUUUUUCUCAGAGAUGUGGCCACUGACCCGAAGGCCCUCUACGUUAUCUUCACUUGGGAAAGUGGAGCACAGAUUUAUGAACUAGUGGCUCAGUCCAUCGUGGAGAGGAAAAAUUGGAUAGAGGUGAUUAAGACUACGAUUGACGAGUUGAAGAAGAGGGACGGAAAUAAGAUAACUAGAAAACAAAGCACCAGCAUACCUAACAGCAUCCUUGGACCUUUAUACAGCCCUUUGCAUCCCCCUCUUAGCCCCACUGAAAAUGGAGGAGACCUGUUGAAAAGUCGCAGUGAGCGAUUUAAAGACACACUUACUGAUGAGAAGAGUAGAGAAAAUGAUACUUCACUCAUAGACUACCUAGUGGCCAAUGGCUUUGACCUGCUCAGCCAUAGCCACAUCCCUCCAGAGAAGUCUGCUGUUGGUGCUUUGGAUGAAGUCAAGUAUUUGAAGAGGCUAUUGGUCGGCAGUAUUAGCCUGUCAGAUGACUCUCAGACUCUUGUGGAAAAUGCACCUGAAAGCCAGGAGGCAGAUGGAGGUCAGUCUUCAGUGGAGGAAUCCAGCACAGAAGAAAGAACUGAAGGAGAAGAGAGUGGGGGAGAUGGAGGGAAUAAAGGAGAAGAGGAGAGAGGGAUAAGUGCUCCUCUAGUGCUUUCUGAGGAACGCAUGGAGGAGGUGCAGAUGAGACUGCAGACUCUUCAGGAGCAACUGAAGAGAUUGCAGGCAAGGAGAACACAAAUGCAUUUGUGAAAGAGAAUAGAGUCAGUUCUUCAGAUCUUGAAGAGGAGAGAUAUUAAGCAAACAGUCUACUAAUACUCUGAUGAGAGUUAAUAGACAUGUACCUAAUGCAUAUCUCUGAUGUUGUGUUUGUUCCCAGGCUGUUGAGGAGGAACAUUAUAAGUUACAAGAAGCUCUUGCUAAAUAUUCACUUCAGGGGGGCCAUUACAACUGAGAAACUUGACAACCUGCUGUUACAAGAUCACUGUAUGUGCUGGACUCAAGACUUUGCUGGUUGACUAAUUCUGCCUGACUUUCCCUGCUCUAUCUCUUCUAUCUUAUCAGCUGUCCUUUCAGAAGAUUGUCAGCAGGCCUCCCGCACUUUCCAUGCCACCGAGAAAUGAAAUGAAAUGAAGUGGGUGUUGUGAAAUUAUAGUGAUCCUUGACCUUGAACGAGUGUGUUUGUGUUUCUGUUGAGAGGUGUGAAAGACAGUCUUGCCAAAAUAUGCCAAAGCAAUGUGCAUCCUUUAGCGAGAUAUCAGAGCUAAAUGCUAGGUGUACAUGUGGAAGCAAUGUAACAUACAGUACAGAAACAUGCCAAAUGGACACACACGCAAAGAUAAGCAUGUCAAAAGUAAUUAUUACCAAAAGACUAUCUAUAUUCAUAGUAAAGUGUAGUUGCAUCUUUGGGAAUGCAGUCUGAUGCAUAUGAAGCCUGCUUCUCAAACUGUAGUUCAGUUAGGUUUUCAAUAAGGUAAUUUUAAGAUGUUCAUCCUAUUAAUUGAUACCAUACUAUAUAAUACAUGCAUUUUCAAAAAUAACAGAUAUUCAAAAGGAUAGAUGUAGAACUGUUGUUGCAUGCAUUGGCCAAAUUGUUGUAAAAUGAAGAGUAUAAGUAUAGACCUUUUAGUUUUUGUUUUGUUUUUUACCCUCUUCUUACCAGAAGUUCUGUUGUUGCUCUGUGUAUAAGAAAAGAAAUUGCUAAUUAGAUGGAUCAACUGAUGGAUGAGCAAAGGAAGUAAUGAGAAGGUUUGAAGAAGGUGGGCUUGCUUAUGCCUAACCCCUCUGAAGUGAAAACAAGGCAAGCAUUGAUGUCGAGAGAUCUCGUCAGGGUUAGAUAUCGUGGUUGAGGAAAUAUGCACAGAUAACGGAGAAUUUUGAAUGACCAGCGUCUGUGCUGUUAUAAUGGGAAGCAUGCUCAAUGUACAGCGUUCUCGAAUGCAGCUGUUGCAGGUUGCACUUUGGUAGGUCAACUCCGAUCUUAUGAUAAUCAUCACACAUUGCCUAUUUGUGUGAGCUAUGCAAAUUCUGUGUCUGUCUGUAAAAGGUAUCAGUCAUUUCUGAUAAUUUAGUUUUUUCUGUCUUUAUGUUCUAAAGUACAAUUACUCUACAGUUGCAAAAAUAUAAUUUUUUUCUGUAAUUGCUUGUAACGAGGUCUCUCGGUUUAUUUUAUUUUAGGGAGUAAUUUUCUUUCAAAGCAGGACCAAAGAAAUGAUAGUGGAACAAAGUUUAGCUAUGUAAACACUUUUGCCUUGCGCGGGGAGGUCAGCUGUAUAUUGGAAUGGAGAAGUAUCCUGAUUCUCAUUGACAGUCCAUGAUUUCCAGCUUAAGGGACCAGACUUUUCUCUUCUGCUCUCCCUGUCUUAUUAGGAAACCAGAGCACAGAGAAUCAGGCAGAUGUGGAUGGUUGAUGAAAAUAUUAUAUCUCAGAGUUUGAAGACAGGAACACAAAUGUAGGGUUUUCACCAGUACUGUAGUUAUUUUCAUGUAUUCAUGAUGCUACUGCAACAGGUCUUUUUUUUACCCUCAACCUACUUUCAAAUUAUGCAAUUUAUUUUACCUUAUUUGUUACAUAUUGUGAUUUAUAUUCAUUGUAAUUGUGCUGAUCUUUGUGAUUUCAGUAAGGCCUUGUUACCUUUUCCCGCUUUACAGAAUGGUUUAUCAGAACAGUUUGUCAGAGGUCUUGCAUUCUGGUCAGCAGUGUUGAUCCUAGAACAUGUGAGACCUUUUGUUCUUUUCAUUAUUUUUUUCUUUUAGAAGUAGCAAGCGAAAAUGUACAAAUUUUGGUAAUGAAACUAUUAUGGUGCAAGAUCUGUUCUACCUACUUCACUUUCCCACAUUCCUUUUGCACAACUUCUUUUAUUCAAAAUUGCUUGAAUGGGGGGUUUAUACAUUGCCUUUGAAAAUUAUGUAAUUAGCAUACUAUGCAUUGCCUUUUAUAAAAGAAGGACUGAGAGAGUUAAGAGUGCACCCUUAACUAUAAAAAAGGCUUCAUUGAAUUUCACUUUUAUUGCAAGAGUUUUCUUUUUGAUGUGAAACUGACCUCAGUUUAAAUUCGAUUAGAAAGUUUCAAACAGCCUUGAACCCUUGAUAACUGAUAAAGAUGGGGGUUUGGGUGUGGUGUCAUUCUCUCUCAUUCCUUAAUAUUUUCAUGUGUAUCUGUCACAUAUACGUGUAGUGAUAUAUCUGUAUGUUUAAAUCUAUUUAUAGGGUGCCUUGUGCAGAUUGGGUUUGUUUUCAUCUCUGACAGGCAUGGGUGUCCUUGCCCUCUCCUCACUAGUGAUGUUCAGUGUUUAAUAUUAAUCUGAUAUUUUGCUCCAUACCCGCCAAAUUAUAGCAGUUCCACUCGUUUGUUGUUCUUAAAAAUGGCUGAGUGCUUAGUACUGAGUGCUCUUUGUUAGAGCUUUUAAAGCCUGCAAUCCGUGACUGUCUUUUAUGUAAUUCUGUGUACAGGAGUCCACUCAUUGCAGGCAUUCCAUUACUGUCUGUCUAUUUAAAUGAUUAUGCAAGGACUAUUCUGUGUAUUUGGGCUUUGAUUUUAUAUGUAAGAUACAUAUAAAUGUAGGUACUUCUUUUUUUUUUCUUUUUUAAAUAAAUUAUCAGAAAUG
Molecule: RNA transcript, 6360 nt
Organism: Carassius carassius (crucian carp)
Lineage: Eukaryota; Metazoa; Chordata; Actinopteri; Cypriniformes; Cyprinidae
Gene name: rho guanine nucleotide exchange factor 1-like
Exons: 32
Source: RefSeq, a predicted model, not a curated record